RNAcentral lists this ribosomal RNA (879 nucleotides) under uncultured archaeon. RNAcentral's name for it is "bacterial SSU rRNA". It matches the Rfam family "Archaeal small subunit ribosomal RNA", at positions 36 to 922 of the family's 1478-position model. The record is from RNAcentral.
GAUUGAUACUAAGCCAUGCGAGUCUUUGUAGCAAUACAAGGCAGACGGCUCAGUAACGCGUAGUCAACCUACCCUAUGGACGGGAAUAACCUCGGGAAACUGAGUAUAAUGCCCGAUAGAACACUAUACCUGGAAGGGUUUGUGUUCCAAAUGAUUUAUCGCCGUAGGAUGGGACUGCGGCCUAUCAGUUUGUUGGUGAGGUAAUGGCCCACCAAGACUAUUACAGGUACGGGCUCUGAGAGGAGUGGCCCGGAGAUGGGUACUGAGACACGGACCCAGGCCCUAUGGGGCGCAGCAGGCGAGAAAACUUUGCAAUGUGCGAAAGCACGACAAGGUUAAUCCGAGUGAUUUGUGCUAAACGAAUCUUUUGUUAGUCAUAGAACCACUAACGAAUAAGGGGUGGGCAAGUUCUGGUGUCAGCCGCCGCGGUAAAACCAGCACCUCAAGUGGUCAGGAUGAUUAUUGGGCCUAAAGCAUCCGUAGCCGGCUCUGUAAGUUUUCGGUUAAAUCUGUACGCUCAACGUACAGGCUGCCGGGAAUACUGCAGAGCUAGGGAGUGGGAGAGGUAGACGGUACUCGGUAGGAAGGGGUAAAAUCCUUUGAUCUAUUGAUGACCACCUGCGGCGAAGGCGGUCUACCAGAACACGUCCGACGGUGAGGGAUGAAAGCUGGGGGAGCAAACCGGAUUAGAUACCCGGGUAGUCCCAGCUGUAAACUAUGCAAACUCAGUGAUGCAUUGACUUGUGGUCAAUGCAGUGCUGCAGGGAAGCCGUUAAGUUUGCCGCCUGGGAAGUACGUACGCAAGUAUGAAACUUAAAGGAUUGGCGGGGGAGCACCACAAGGGGUGAAGCCUGCGGUUCAAUUGGAUUCAACGCCGGA